Lates calcarifer (barramundi perch) is the source of this 773-nucleotide long non-coding RNA. RefSeq lists it as uncharacterized. The record is from RefSeq and is a predicted model, not a curated record. The transcript has 3 exons. Lineage: Eukaryota; Metazoa; Chordata; Actinopteri; Centropomidae.
CUCCGUCCAUCUCACAGGCUCGACACGCCUCCCUGAACGCAACACGACUCGACACGUCAUGGAAAUACGCAAUUUUAUAGCAGGGACGUCCCGGGCCACCUGAACACACCGUCUGACCUGAGAGGCAGAGAGUGACAGCUCUGAUGUCCGUCUGUCCGUCCACAUGAUCGUCUCAGCUGCUCUGUCACCCUCUCAUAUUCAUGUGAUGGUUUACCUGAGGAUCGAUCAGGCUCAUUGAUGGUUGAGCCUGUGACAGACGCUGAUGGAAAUCGUUUCUGCCCCUGAGGAAACGUGUGAGGCGGUUUAUUAUUCCUCUGAUGGAGAACGGGAAUCAAUGGGAGCCUGAGCUGGUCUGGAUUGACCUGAUCUGUGUCCCUGAACGCAGCACGGAAACAUUAAAGCACGUGAUCCUGUAACCUCACCACAGGUGAGCUCAACAACACAGCACCUGAACAUCAGAGUAAAGGCAGGACAGUCUGUAAAUGUUACACCUGUUUGUGUCAGCUGAUCAUGACAGAGUGAUCACACCUGUGGUUCAGUCUGGGUGAAACGGUGAAAUGCUGCUCAGUUUCCAUCAGAGGAAUGGAGUCGUCUCCUCUGAGUCUCUGUUGUUUCAGGAGGACAGAAGGAAACGACCACCUCAGAUCAGGUGUGCUCCACCUGAACACCACCUCAGCAGUUAACGUCAGAUAUGAACACAAACACAUUUAAAACAUUAAACCAUGAACCUGAGCUCAGACCUGAGAGCACCUGGAAGGCAUCAUGAGUCUGUA